RNAcentral lists this ribosomal RNA (381 nucleotides) under Vreelandella aquamarina. RNAcentral's name for it is "bacterial SSU rRNA". It matches the Rfam family "Bacterial small subunit ribosomal RNA", at positions 56 to 442 of the family's 1533-position model. Lineage: Bacteria; Pseudomonadati; Pseudomonadota; Gammaproteobacteria; Oceanospirillales; Halomonadaceae. The record is from RNAcentral.
UGCAGUCGAGCGGUAACAGAUCCAGCUUGCUGGAUGCUGACGAGCGGCGGACGGGUGAGUAAUGCAUAGGAAUCUGCCCGAUAGUGGGGGAUAACCUGGGGAAACCCAGGCUAAUACCGCAUACGUCCUACGGGAGAAAGGGGGCUCCGGCUCCCGCUAUGGGAUGAGCCUAUGUCGGAUUAGCUAGUUGGUGAGGUAACGGCUCACCAAGGCCACGAUCCGUAGCUGGUCUGAGAGGAUGAUCAGCCACAUCGGGACUGAGACACGGCCCGAACUCCUACGGGAGGCAGCAGUGGGGAAUAUUGGACAAUGGGCGCAAGCCUGAUCCAGCCAUGCCGCGUGUGUGAAGAAGGCCCUCGGGUUGUAAAGCACUUUCACCGA